This 504-nucleotide ribosomal RNA is filed under the name uncultured bacterium. RNAcentral describes it as "bacterial SSU rRNA". It matches the Rfam family "Bacterial small subunit ribosomal RNA", at positions 30 to 520 of the family's 1533-position model. The record is from RNAcentral.
AUUGAACGCUGGCGGCAUGCCUUACACAUGCAAGUCGAACGGCAGCACGGGGGCAACCCUGGUGGCGAGUGGCGAACGGGUGAGUAAUACAUCGGAAUGUACCCAGUAGUGGGGGAUAACUAGUCGAAAGAUUAGCUAAUACCGCAUACGCACUAUGGUGGAAAGCGGGGGAUCGCAAGACCUCGCGCUAUUGGAGCAGCCGAUGUCCGAUUAGGUAGUUGGUGGGGUAAAGGCCUACCAAGCCUGCGAUCGGUAACUGGUCUGAGAGGACGACCAGUCACACUGGGACUGAGACACGGCCCAGACUCCUACGGGAGGCAGCAGUGGGGAAUUUUGGACAAUGGGGGAAACCCUGAUCCAGCAAUGCCGCGUGUGUGACGAAGGCCUUCGGGUUGUUAAAGCAACGUUUUGGACGGGAACGAAACGGCGCGUUUUCUAAUACUAGAGCGCUAAUGACGGUACCCGCAGAAUAAGCACCGGCUAACUACGUGCCAGCAGCCGCGG